RNAcentral lists this long non-coding RNA (1542 nucleotides) under Oryctolagus cuniculus (rabbit). RNAcentral's name for it is "lncRNA (ENSOCUG00000036290.1)". The record is from RNAcentral. Lineage: Eukaryota; Metazoa; Chordata; Mammalia; Lagomorpha; Leporidae.
AUGUGCACGCGGGCUGCCAUGGCGCAGAGGAAUAUAAAUAUUUGCGGGAUGCCAUCCCACGAUGACUAUCUGGGUGUGGGGCGCGCGGGGCACGGGGCGCGGGACGCGUGUGCCCCGCGCCUUCGCCCCUUCCGCAAGGUGUGCUCGCUCUGGGCAGGGGGCGUGUGGGAGCGGGCUGCCCCCUCGUGUUCCACGGGGGCCAGGCCUGCUGUGCCCCUGGGCGGGGCUGGAUGGACACCGUGGUCGGACUGCGCUAUUCUCAGCACACGGCGACCAGUACGCACAUCGCCGUGUGUCCUGCCCGUGACCCCGAGUCGGGAGGCGGGUUGCGAGUUUCAUCCACCCUCAGGCUUCCUCUGUGCGUGCCCCCACCCCACCCCGCCCCGCCGCCCCAGGCCAAGUGGAUGCCCUGGAGACAAUCGCGGCUCGCAGUUUGCUUUGCCCCGAGACAGUCGAUGGGACCGCAACGCGAGUGUGCCGGGGCUACGUUCUCCUCCAGGGCACGCGUUGGUUCAGCGUGCGUGUAUCUAUCGGGAGUCUGUGCCCCGGCGAAGGCGCCGGCAACUCCGGUGGUGGGAGAAGCCUUGGACCUCGGGCCAUUUACCGCUUCUGUCCCUCGCUCUACGUGUGCGGUGCUGCCACUUCCCUCCGCCUUUGCUCCUGGCCGAGCAGGAGCGGGCGCGUUGGCUGCGCCCGGGAACCUGCCGGGCCACUUUUGUGCAAGGGGCGGAUUGUGGCAGCCGGAGAGGCGCGUCAAGCGGGCCAGGCAGAAAGGGGGCUCGGGCCUGCGCGCGCGGCUUUGCAACGUCAGCUCCUCCCCGUCCCCGCCUCGAGUCGCAGCAAACAAAGUCUUGGACCCGCAGGCCGGUUGGGGAGGCACCGUGGUGGUUCGGAGGCCUGGCCCGGGGGCAGAAGGCCUGGGGUGCUCACGUUGGGGCCGUUGCAAGUUGUGCUGUGGGUGUGCAUGCAGUAAGCGUGCCAGUCCGUGAGAGUUGCUUGUGUGGAUUGUGGAGGUGCAAUCGUGGGGCUCAGCCAGGAUUUGUUUGUGUUUCGGGGGCUGUGUGUUUGGUCGGAGGCCGGCGAGACCUCAACAGACUGCGUGUUAGGAGGUCCAGCUCUUUGGGGCACCCGGAUUGUUUUGAGUUAGCGCGAAAACGCGAAGUCGAGAGGCUGCUGAGUGCCCAGGAGGGUGUGCAAACGCGGCUCAGGCGAUCUGCGUGCCGCGGGGACUUGGGCCGGAGCUGCACGUCACCCAGGGUGGGGGCGGCCGCUGGGGGUGACUUGGGACUCACUUGCGUUGGAGGGGAUCCUGAGCUGCGCGUCUCGGCCAGCACAAGGGCGGCACUGGUGUGGCUUGGGAUCCAGGCGCACCUGUGUCCAGCGAGGACGCUGGCGGUGGCGCCGUGUCCGCAAGCGCAGCACCAACUCCGGAGCUGGGCAAGCGGCAGUGCUGUUUCUUUUCUUUUCUUUUCUUUCUUUUUUUUAUUUGAAACUGCGCGUUUUCCUCGGCAGGCCUUCAUCUUUCCAGAACCCAUUGCUUGA